CAAAGUUAUUCGGGAGGGUUUUGUUUUGUUGUUAGCUGCUGGCUGUCGUAGCUUCUGGCUGCUGUUGUUGGCGACGCCUUUGGGCGUUGCGGCUGGCGAUGUUGUAGCUGCUGGCUGCUGUUGUUGUUGGCGCUGGUUGGCGAUGUUGUUUGCGCAAACUGGCGUUGUUGUUGGCGCUGGCGGCCGAUGUUGUUGGCGCUAACUGGCGUUGUUGUUGGCGCUGGCGGCCGAUGUUGUUGGCGCUACUUAUGAGGGGUCAAACGACAAUACAACAUUUCCAUUUAUAAGUAUUAGAAACCCUGAUCAGCGGGUGUGGCUUAGAAAACGUGCACAGUUAAAUGAGUUUGGGUUGAGUUAUAUAAGAAUUUGUUGUAAGUUGACUAAUUUGUAAACUGAUAAACCCAGAAAUUCUUAAUUCCACCAUUUUUGAAGUACCUACCCGACGCACAAUGGAUCCAAUGAGAUAUCUAGCGGAAUAAAAGUCGAUUUUUAACUUUUGAAAAAUACGUUGAGUUUCGAUUUUAUUUGAUUAAUUAUAUUCUGCAAAGCUCAAAAAAGCUUUUUAAUGAGCUUUUCAGUGCAUCCCUGAUCGGCUGCGAGCUUUGAAACUUAACCUAUUUGCGGCACGUGUCUACACAAAUAUUUGAGGUUAUUUGUGAUUCGUUUUAAAUUAUCAAAACAAGUGAUAUUUUUGAGUAUUUUGAUAGAAAAAUCUUUUGUUUCCCUUAAAAUAAGGUGGCUUGGCGAAAAUGUCGCAUCAAGAAGAUUGUUGGUGCUAAAUGAAUAUAUAUUUGGCACAAUUUUGAAGAAUAUAAACAUAUCUGACAACGAUAUCAAAGAAAUUAAUAAAAAAUUGGCUAAUUCAUGGUGCAGACAUCAUAAAGCAUGUGGGUCUUCCUAUUGGCAUGAUGUCUGAAGAAGCCCUGAAAGCCAGGAAUAAGGAUUUCCGGAAUAUAAGGGAGAAUCAUUCUCGAAAGAAUAAUAGAUCUAAUACAAUGGAAGAUGUUAUGCACGCAUUACUCCACUAAUAACAUCAUUGUCUAAAAUGUCAACAAAUUCGGUUAAAUCUAUUAAAUUUGAUAAAGUGGUUGCUGGUCUUCUAAUAAAUUUCCCACAUUUAAAUAAUGAUUCUGAAUCUUCAGAUUCCGAAUAAUAGUAGCGAAUAAUAUAUGGAAAAUAAACUCAUUAGUUAAAAUGUAAAUUAAAAAAUAAAACACUUAAAAAUUAAAAAAAAAAAGAGAA
Long non-coding RNA from Drosophila biarmipes, 1242 nucleotides. RefSeq lists it as uncharacterized. The transcript has 2 exons. The record is from RefSeq and is a predicted model, not a curated record. Lineage: Eukaryota; Metazoa; Arthropoda; Insecta; Diptera; Drosophilidae.